UGGGGAAUCUUGCGCAAUGGGCGAAAGCCUGACGCAGCCAUGCCGCGUGAAUGAUGAAGGUCUUAGGAUUGUAAAAUUCUUUCACCGGGGACGAUAAUGACGGUACCCGGAGAAGAAGCCCCGGCUAACUUCGUGCCAGCAGCUGCGGUAAUACGAAGGGGGCUAGCGUUGCUCGGAAUUACUGGGCGUAAAGGGAGUGUAGGCGGACUGUUAAGUUAGAGGUGAAGGCCCAGGGCUCAACCUUGGAAUUGCCUUUGAUACUGGCAGUCUUGAGUACGGAAGAGGUAUGUGGAACUCCGAGUGUAGAGGUGAAAUUCGUAGAUAUUCGGAAGAACACCAGUGGCGAAGGCGACAUACUGGUCCGUUACUGACGCUGANGCUCGAAAGCGUGGGGAGCAAACAGGAUUAGAUACCCUGGUAGUCCACGCCGUAAACGAUGAGUGCUAGUUGUCGGCAUGCAUGCAUGUCGGUGACGCAGCUAACGCAUUAAGCACUCCGCCUGGGGAGUACGGUCGCAAGAUUA
Molecule: ribosomal RNA, 523 nt
Filed under: uncultured bacterium
Lineage: Bacteria
Description: bacterial SSU rRNA
Rfam family: Bacterial small subunit ribosomal RNA
Source: RNAcentral